CAGCCGCCACGGUAAUACGGAGGGGGCUAGCGUUGUUCGGAAUUACUGGGCGUAAAGCGCACGUAGGCGGCUUGGUAAGUUAGAGGUGAAAGCCUGGAGCUCAACUCCAGAAUUGCCUUUAAGACUGCCGAGCUAGUAGGUGAGAGAGGUAAGUGGAAUUCCGAGUGUAGAGGUGAAAUUCGUAGAUAUUCGGAAGAACACCAGUGGCGAAGGCGGCUUACUGGCUCAUUCUAGACGCUGAGGUGCGAAAGCGUGGGGAGCAAACAGGAUUAGAUACCCCCGUAGUCCCUGUCUCUUAUAA
Molecule: ribosomal RNA, 301 nt
Filed under: uncultured bacterium
Lineage: Bacteria
Description: partial 16S ribosomal RNA
Rfam family: Bacterial small subunit ribosomal RNA
Source: RNAcentral